AUGCUGCAGAUACCAUCUAUUAACAUGCGUACCCUACUGAUUAGGUAUAUGAUUGAGAAUUUUGAUGCCAGCAAGUCCAGAUUCAUUAUACAAGAGCAGGUUGGGGAGGUGACUCUCGGUGCGGUCGACGUCGAGUGCGUCUUUAACCUCGAGAACCAAGGACUCUCUGCUUCGGACAUUUUGAUUGAAGAAGGAGAGGACAUGAAGGAGCGGGUGCCGCCACAAUUUCUCAGUAAGACAUCAGAAAACAUAGUGAUAGAUAAUCUCAUUAAGGACAUAAUUAAGAGUAAAGCCACCAACGACGAUUUCCUUCGGAAAUUAGUCAUUGUCCUGUUAGGAACAAUUAUUGCUCCCAUAUCGAGCAAGAUUGUGCCAAAGCAGUACUACACUUUGGUACAUGAUGUGAAACGUAUUUCAAAGAUUAACUGGAAUGCGUUCACCCUACGUGUUCUCCUCGAUUGCCUUCGCAUAGUCAAGAAAGGCAAACACCUCCACCAAUGGCCGAAAGGAAAUUUGGCUCUGUUGCAGGUACACAUAUGA
RNAcentral lists this ribosomal RNA (540 nucleotides) under Triticum aestivum (bread wheat). Its description in RNAcentral is "partial small subunit ribosomal RNA". Lineage: Eukaryota; Viridiplantae; Streptophyta; Magnoliopsida; Poales; Poaceae. The record is from RNAcentral.